UGAGGAAUAUUGGUCAAUGGGCGAGAGCCUGAACCAGCCAAGUCGCGUGAAGGAAGACAGUCCUAAGGAUUGUAAACUUCUUUUAUACGGGAAUAACGGGCGAUACGAGUAUUGCAUUGAAUGUACCGUAAGAAUAAGCAUCGGCUAACUCCGUGCCAGCAGCCGCGGUAAUACGGAGGAUGCGAGCGUUAUCCGGAUUUAUUGGGUUUAAAGGGUGCGUAGGUUGUUCGGUAAGUCAGCGGUGAAACCUGAGCGCUCAACGUUCAGCCUGCCGUUGAAACUGCCGGGCUUGAGUUCAGUGGCGGCAGGCGGAAUUCGUGGUGUAGCGGUGAAAUGCAUAGAUAUCACGAGGAACUCCGAUUGCGAAGGCAGCUGGCCAUACUGCGACUGACACUGAAGCACGAAGGCGUGGGUAUCAAACAGG
Molecule: ribosomal RNA, 424 nt
Filed under: Fusobacteriota bacterium
Lineage: Bacteria; Fusobacteriati; Fusobacteriota
Description: Fusobacteria bacterium partial 16S ribosomal RNA
Rfam family: Bacterial small subunit ribosomal RNA
Source: RNAcentral